RNAcentral lists this ribosomal RNA (494 nucleotides) under uncultured bacterium. Its description in RNAcentral is "partial 16S ribosomal RNA". It matches the Rfam family "Bacterial small subunit ribosomal RNA", at positions 28 to 507 of the family's 1533-position model. The record is from RNAcentral.
GACGAACGCUGGCGGCGUGCUUAACACAUGCAAGUCGAACGGAAAGGCCUGCUUUCCCUUGUGGAUUGCGGGUACUCGAGUGGCGAACGGGUGAGUAACACGUGAGUGAUCUGCCCCCAACUUGGGUAUAAGCCUGGGAAACUGGGUCUAAUUCCCGAUAGGACUGCAGGGUGGUGCCUGUGGUGGAAAACGAUUUUCUAGUGGUUGGGGAUGAGCUCGCGGCCUAUCAGCUUGUUGGUGGGGUAAUGGCCUACCAAGGCGGCGACGGGUAGCCGGCCUGGGAGGGUGGACGGCAGCAGUGGGACGGAGAUACGGCCCAGACUCCUACGGGAGGCAGCAGUGGGGAAUAUUGCACGAGGGGCGGAAGCCUGAGGCAGCGACGCCGCGUGGGGGAUGACGGCCUUCGGGUGGUAAACUCCUUUCGACCGCGAGGAAGCCACCUGGUUGGAAGGGUGGUGACGGUAGUGGUAGAAGAAGCACCGGCUAACUACGUG